RNAcentral lists this long non-coding RNA (756 nucleotides) under Helianthus annuus (common sunflower). Lineage: Eukaryota; Viridiplantae; Streptophyta; Magnoliopsida; Asterales; Asteraceae. The record is from RNAcentral.
AUGAGAGGCUUUGCGAGAAAUGUAAUCUAUGCUUUCUAUAAAAGGAGAAAUUCUGAUGACAUAAGAAAAGCUGUUGUGGCAGCCAGAAAGGCUGUCCAACAAUGCUUUUCUUAUGUCAUUACUGCAUCAUAAGUCUUAAUAUAUAAAAUCAUUUAAAAUCUAUAUAAACCUCUGUCAUCCAAAACCUCUGCCCAUAUCUAUCCUUUAAAGCCAGCAGAGGUUGGAGGUCCUUUGGGAUGCGUAUAUCUCAGCAGAUGUUUUGAAAUUGCCGGUAUGACUAAAUGAUGAUUGUGAAUGAUUUGAGCAGAUGAUGAUGAUGAUUGUUCUACAGUUGUUCCUACCAAAUGCAAGAAACUCUUUGUUUCUGCUGCAACAAACUCUCCGAUUACAGAUCUUUGUGCUUCACAUAAUUGUUCCAGCAUCAUUGUUCCAACAUCGUUGAAAUCUAAUCACAGUUGUUUGAAAUUCAUACAAUUAUCUGCGGGUUAUUUUAGAUGAUGAUGUAGAAUCUACAGUGGUUCCUACUAAACACAAGAAAGUAUAUGCUUCUACUACUCCGAUGAUUUAAAGUAUCUCUUUAUCAAGCAAGUUGAGGAUUAAGUAUAUGAGGAUAGGGCUACUCUUCAAGAGUUGAAGAGGUGUUUUGAUGGACUGCAUCUUGGUCUGUUCACGAGAGACCAGGUUUCCAGAAACCUGAUGGCGAUGCCUUCAACUUCCGUGGAGUUCAUGGCGAUGCUCAAAGAUAUACAUCGAGAG